Molecule: long non-coding RNA, 2459 nt
Organism: Lycium ferocissimum
Lineage: Eukaryota; Viridiplantae; Streptophyta; Magnoliopsida; Solanales; Solanaceae
Exons: 3
Source: RefSeq, a predicted model, not a curated record
CGUUCACUCUUUCUUAUUGUACAAGGCAAUUCUCUAUCUCUCUCAGUCUCUUCAUAACUAGUUAUUCACUUUACUAAGUUUUGGGCUGAAAUAUCGAGUUAACUUUUUCUUAUUGAAGAUUUCUGUUGUUUCUGAGUCUUUGAAAGCUUUGAAAAAUGCAGUGUAAGGACAUCUUCAGUUCUUUUUUGUUGGAAAACAACGCAACCCAACACUUUCUGGAGACAGUUGUAAGAAUUCUUCAAACAACACCAUAAAGUAUUUUAUUUCCAUUCAAAUUUGCGAGAUGAAAUCAUACUUUUCUCUAUCAAGUCAAAUAUUGUUGUUGAAAAAAGUAAUUCCAACAUGAAAACUAUUUCAUUCUAAAACUUUCCAAGAUCACACCUUACAAGCUCUCAGAGUGUAUGUAAAACUUUCCAUAAACUAUUUCUGUCUGUCUAUGUCUGUCAAUUAUCUUUUUUGUGCUAAUGGCUGCGACUAAAGAUUACAAUAUAUAGUAGAAAGAGUGAGGGAGGAGAUGUACUGCGAAGCAUGCACCUUCUACUAAUUGAUGAUUAUUCAACCCAUUUUAUGCAUUUUAAAGUGCUUAGAUCUUUAAUUAAUCAGCACAUAAUAUUAUUUUUCCAAUUUAUCAGUAAAAGGACUCUAUUACCAAAUCAGGAUAGGUAAAAAUGAAAAUUAUUCUUGCAUGUGAAUAUGUAAUUUAAUUUUUGUUGUGCCUCGCGUGUGUUUUGGUAAUCCUGAUCUCUUUCUUUUUUCUUUGCCAGGAGAUCCAAAAGUCCUUUAAGCUACUGUCUUUCAUGCUAUGACUCUGGAAUUCUUUUGGUCAGAUCAUGAUAAUUUGGCAAACUAGGAGAUGGUUACAGAUUUGUUGUGUUGCCCCCGUUCGUUCGUCGCUGCAUUAGAACUGCAGAUAAAUGUUUCGCCUUGAAAUGGGGCUUCUUCAAAUUGUGAGUUUUCUUGAUCAUUUUCAGUUCCAUUUUUGCAUAUUCUCUCCCCCCUGUCCAAUAAUAUUUUAAAUUGAUGUGGAUUAUCAGGAUAACAUGUUUCUCUAAACAUACAAAAUUGUGAGUUUUGAUGAUCCUAUUCGACUUCAAUUUUGCAUCUAAUCCUUUGCCUGCCCAGUAUUACUUUAACAAUGGUGGAUUUGCUUUGGAUUAUCAGGAUAAAACUCGAAAGUCGUAUUCUGUUUUGUUUAAAAAUCAAGAAAUUAUGUGGAGUUAGAUACUAUAUGUUUGGUGAUGAAAGUUAAGGUCACUUGAAAAAGUAAUUAUUUUUUUCCCCAGAAUAGUUCCCCUUUGAAAAAUGAGAAGUAUCUCUCAUGGAACCACAUUCAAGCCGUGGACCGAGAGGAAUCAGAAGAUUUUUCAAACCAAACUGUGUGAACCUAAGGUGGUGGUCAGGAGAAUUUUGCAGGAUAUAUUGUACAGAGGAUCACUCAAGAACAAGAUUAGUUGCUCUUAACUUCUACCCAUAGUUAGCUAUAGUUUUCCACUUGCACUAAGGAGGUUAUGAUGACAUUGUUAUAUGUUUUGCCACUGUGAGGUUGCCAUAUCAUCACAGUUUUUUUAGACUCUUGUACAGUUUUGCUACUUUGGUAAUAUAAAUGUUAGUUUAAUUGCCAAAAAAAAAAAGGUGUGUUGUAUAGCUCGCGGAGGGUGCAAACGUGCUGUGGUGCCUGCGAAUUAUUGGGAUCGAUAUUGACAGCAAGAAAUACUAUGUUUGUAUAACUCUUCUACAUCAUUUGAGAGUAUGGAUAGUUCGUUCAUAUUUCAUAUCAAUUGUCUGACCUAAUUUGAGUUGAAUAUUCUGGUAGCUUCCUUCUUUCAUAUUUUUAAUUGGAAGUAGAGGAAGUAAGGAAACUUAAAGGGAUGACAAGAUGAAUGGUGAAUGAAUUGACUUGUUGAUAAGUUGGUAUUUUAUCAACUUAUUUCUGCUUUAAUCUUAGAUUGUUGCUAUAUUUUGAUUGAAAAAAUAGUGCAUUUAAUAUCGUUUACUUCCAUUUUAUAGGUUCCUAUGAUUGAGAAGAGCCUUGGAAGAAACCAAGUGAAAAAACAAGUCAAAUAGAGGCCAAAUGGGAGAAAUGGCAAAAACUGGACAGUUUUGCAAAAACGUGACAGUUUUUCAAAUCUGAAAACUUGGGGCUUAGUUUGUUAUUUUUGGACUUGGAAAAAUUGGGCAACUAUAAAAGCAAGACUUGGUGAAAUUAUUUAUGAUCUUUUGGCCAUUUUAACACAAGUUUUGGAGACUAGGGUUCUUACACCCACACUUGGAGAUUGAAGAUUUGAAGACUUUGACGAGAAAUUUCUUACUCAUUUCUUCAAUUUCUUGUUGUGUAUUGAAUAUCUAAGUGUGUAGUAUUUAUUUUCUUCACUUGAAUCUUGUUUAUGGAAAUAUUCUAUGAUUAAAGUGUUGGAUGAAACUCUUGUUUUGUUUAUGUAUUGAAUGAUUUUUAUUGCUAA